UGUAAUGUAAAAUUAAUUUGAAGUAGUAAUAGUUAUAGUCUUAAAACUUAAUAAAUUUGGCAGUAUUUUAUCUUAUCAGAGGAAUCUGUAUAGUAAUUGAUAGUCCACGACUUAAAUUUACUUUUAAUUAAAUAAUUUGUAUACCGUUGUCAUGAAUGUAUUUUAAGAUUUAAUUUUCUGGUGCUUUAUGAGUUUAAUGUUAAAUCAAGGUGCAGUAUUUAAAAGAAAAAUAUGGAUUACAUAUUUAAUGAUUUGUAGAUAAAUGAUUUUUUAAUCUUUUGAAAUUGGAUUUGAUAGUAAUUUUAUUAGAGUAAUAAAUUGAAAAAAGAUUCUG
Molecule: ribosomal RNA, 334 nt
Filed under: Mesohomotoma hibisci
Lineage: Eukaryota; Metazoa; Arthropoda; Insecta; Hemiptera; Carsidaridae
Description: partial 12S ribosomal RNA
Source: RNAcentral